Molecule: ribosomal RNA, 1446 nt
Filed under: uncultured cyanobacterium
Lineage: Bacteria; Bacillati; Cyanobacteriota
Description: bacterial SSU rRNA
Rfam family: Bacterial small subunit ribosomal RNA
Source: RNAcentral
AGAGUUUGAUCCUGGCUCAGAAGGAACGCUGGCAGCGUGCAUAACACAUGCAAGUCGAACGAACCUUCGGGUUAGUGGCGGACGGGUGAGUAACGCGUGGGAAUCUGCCCUCAGGAGGGGGAUAACGGUUGGAAACGACCGCUAAUACCCCAUAUGCCGAGAGGUGAAAUGAAUUUCGCCUGAGGAUGAGCCCGCGUCUGAUUAGCUAGUUGGUGAGGUAAGAGCUCACCAAGGCAUCGAUCAGUAGCUGGUCUGAGAGGAUGAUCAGCCACACUGGGACUGAGACACGGCCCAGACUCCUACGGGAGGCAGCAGUGGGGAAUUUUCCGCAAUGGGCGAAAGCCUGACGGAGCAACGCCGCGUGAGGGAUGAAGGCCUCUGGGCUGUAAACCUCUUUUAUCAAGGAAGAAGAUCUGACGGUACUUGAUGAAUAAGCCACGGCUAAUUCCGUGCCAGCAGCCGCGGUAAUACGGGAGUGGCAAGCGUUAUCCGGAAUUAUUGGGCGUAAAGCGUCCGCAGGCGGCCCUUCAAGUCUGCUGUUAAAAAGUGGAGCUUAACUCCAUCAUGGCAGUGGAAACUGUUGGGCUUGAGUGUGGUAGGGGCAGAGGGAAUUCCCGGUGUAGCGGUGAAAUGCGUAGAUAUCGGGAAGAACACCAGUGGCGAAGGCGCUCUGCUGGGCCAUCACUGACGCUCAUGGACGAAAGCCAGGGGAGCGAAAGGGAUUAGAUACCCCUGUAGUCCUGGCCGUAAACGAUGAACACUAGGUGUCGGGGGAAUCGACCCCUCCGGUGUCGUAGCCAACGCGUUAAGUGUUCCGCCUGGGGAGUACGCACGCAAGUGUGAAACUCAAAGGAAUUGACGGGGGCCCGCACAAGCGGUGGAGUAUGUGGUUUAAUUCGAUGCAACGCGAAGAACCUUACCAGGGUUUGACAUCCUGCGAAUCUCUUGGAAACGAGAGAGUGCCUUCGGGAGCGCAGUGACAGGUGGUGCAUGGCUGUCGUCAGCUCGUGUCGUGAGAUGUUGGGUUAAGUCCCGCAACGAGCGCAACCCACGUCUUUAGUUGCCAGCAUUUAGUUGGGCACUCUAGAGAGACCGCCGGUGAUAAACCGGAGGAAGGUGUGGAUGACGUCAAGUCAUCAUGCCCCUUACAUCCUGGGCUACACACGUACUACAAUGCUACGGACAAAGGGCAGCAAGUUCGCGAGGACAAGCAAAUCCCAUAAACCGUGGCUCAGUUCAGAUCGUAGGCUGCAACUCGCCUACGUGAAGGAGGAAUCGCUAGUAAUCGCAGGUCAGCAUACUGCGGUGAAUACGUUCCCGGGCCUUGUACACACCGCCCGUCACACCAUGGAAGUUGGCCACGCCCGAAGCCGUUACUCCAACCCUUGUGGAGGAGGACGUCGAAGGUGGGGCUGAUGACUGGGGUGAAGUCGUAACAAGGUAACC